AGAGUACUGUAAAGUCGGCGGAAUGAGCACGACACAAAUCUCUUAAAUCUGGGAAUUCAUAUUCGGAAUUCAGACGGAAUUCAGACGGAUUGAGCUCCGAGUAGAAGAUGUGCACGUGGACAUCUGUGAACACGUAAUACACACUCCAGAUCUGCAGAAUAACAGUCCAGACUCUUGUGUAUGUGACAA
Long non-coding RNA from Ictalurus furcatus (blue catfish), 189 nucleotides. RefSeq lists it as uncharacterized. The record is from RefSeq and is a predicted model, not a curated record. The transcript is spliced from 3 exons. NCBI's taxonomy places the organism in Eukaryota, Metazoa, Chordata, Actinopteri, Siluriformes, Ictaluridae.